Molecule: long non-coding RNA, 2990 nt
Organism: Piliocolobus tephrosceles (Ugandan red Colobus)
Lineage: Eukaryota; Metazoa; Chordata; Mammalia; Primates; Cercopithecidae
Exons: 3
Source: RefSeq, a predicted model, not a curated record
CAGAUGCCAAUGUGUGGUGAUUUCUCAAGGAAAGUACCUCUACCCUUUAAUUUCUUUGGGAAACAACUUGCUGGCCUGUUUUCUGGUGGUGACAAUAAUGAUACACUAGAAGUAUUUAUUUCUACAAUCUGAACACUAACUGUACGGAUAGAAUGUCCACCUCCUGCUUCCUUUCUUUCUAUCUUAAAGAUAGUUUUAUGUUGGGUUCCUUAGCAAUAAAUAUAUGAUCAGGAUGGAAACUUCAUCCACCGCAUGUGUAUUUCAGUGCUGAACUCACCAAUGGACAUUUGAUGACAUGAUCCAAAAAUUACAUAAAUUACUGAAGAACAGAAAGCUGCAUAAGCGAUGUUGAGAGGAGGAAUCAGUUGCCUUGCCAGCAAACUAAGUGUCAGGCCUGAAAAACAAGAUAAUUUAAGAAAAAGCAGCUUGGCUUUAAAAGUCACCUUAAAUAAAAGCUGUAAAGAAUAUUUAAAAUAAAAAUCAUCCAUGUAUAUAGCUGACUGAGUGUGGUAACAGUAUUUCUGGACAUAUAGUCCUUCAUUAGUACUUUUUAUUAUCUGCUUUGAUUCCUAGCUUCUCUUCCUAUUUUGCCAUAUGCUUUUUACACUUCAAUCCAAUAUCAUAGGCUGAAACAUAGGUCUUAAUACUAAACUUGUGAAGCAAAUACCACAGCAAUAAGACCCCUAAUUCCAACAGCUCAAAAGCAGCCCCAUCCUUAUUCCUAGCCAAGCACAAGCAGGCCCUGGGAAUUCUCCAGGGCUGAAGAUAAAACUGGAGAGCAAGGCAAGAAUCACACUUCACUGACUUGAAGUUGGUAUGUGUUGGUUCUCUUCCAUAGGCCAGUCACUCCAGUCUCUUCCUUCAGCUCCUUCUCUAAUACUUUCUUUUCUAAGAAGCACCAUGAGAAUUUGGAAAUUUUGAAGCAAAUGGACUAACAGGCAUAGUGUCAUCCUUUUGAUGCUUCAAGCCCCUAUUUCCUUCCCUAAGAGUCUGUCCUCAAUUUACAUCAUACCAAUAUACUCAUCUAAAUUCAAUGAUGAAUUUAGUGAGGUGGUUUAUUGUCUUAGAUAAGCAAGGCUCCUUUUUAUAAGACAUUUCAAACAUAUACAAAAGUAGAGUUUAAUGAAUUCCAUACACCCAUCAUCCACUUCAAUGGUCAACCCAUAACCAAUCUAUGCUCCUACUCCUCUCUCACCCUAUAUUACUUUGAGGCAAAUCCAAGGCAUUUGAUGAUUUAAUUUGUAGAUAUUUUGGUAUGUGUCUCUAAAUGAUAAUACUCUUGUAAUUUUAGUACAAUAUCAUCGUUAUCCACUCAGUGUUCAAAUUUCCCUGAUUAUCUUACAAAUGAUUGUUGUGGUAGAGGGUCUGUAAGAUGAUGUACAAUGGUCAAUUGGUAUUCUUGCCCUUGCAUAAUUUCCUCCCCAUUAAGUGUGGAAUAGACUUACUAAUUUGUUUCUAAGGAAUAGACUAUAACAAAAAUGACAGGAUGUCACUUCUGAGGUUAGGUUGCAAAAAGACUUUUGGUUUCCAUCUUGGUUGCUCUCUCAUUCACUACCUACCAGAGGUAGCUUCAAAGGUUUGUAAUCUAUGCAGUCAAGACAGAGUCCUAGGCUUAGAAGGACUUUGCACUUGGUUUAAUGCUUUGCUGUCACUGUCUUGAAAUUCUGAAUAAUUUUUGAACUAAGGUCCCUGUGUUUUUAUUUUGUAUUGGGCCCAACACAUAUAGUUGGUCCUGCCAGCGGCCAUGCUGUGAAUAUGGAGAAGCCAGAAUGGGGAGGAACUCAGGCCUGCCAACAGCCAUAUGAGUGAGCCUGGAAGCAGAUCCUCCAGCCUCAGUAGAACUUUGAGAUAACUGCAGUCUCACAAGAGACCUUGAACCAGAGCUUGCCCAUCACAAGCUUCAACCCUGCCUGCUGGGCCUCAGAAAAAUAGAGAAAUGGAGGUGUUUAAAGACUAACUACUCACAAGUAAUUGUUUACCCUGGGCAUGUAGACAAGGUCUGAUACAUUGUCUUUGGAUGAACAGGCUUCAUAUCUUCCUUACCUUGGGGAACUUGCACAAGGCCAACACUUAUACCAGCAAGUAAGUCUCCAAGAAGCCAAUCUUUUAAUCGAUACAUACACAUCCAUUCUAGGAAGGGAAAGAUUGUAAGCAUGCAUCGUAGGAACCUGUGCCAUGAGCAGCUGUGUGAGAGAAGAGCAAAGACUUGGUUAGUUUCUCCAAAGAAAAUGCCUGCAUAGCCAAUAAAAGGCAUUUGGCCCACAUAGCCAAGAAAAAGCAGAGUCUUGUCAGCACUACUGACAGUUUGACAUAUUGGACCAGAUAAUUCUUUGUUGUUGGGCUGUCCUGUGCAUUGCAGGAUGUUUAGCAGCAUCCCUCAUCUCUACACAUUUGAUAUCAGUAGAACUCCCUCCUUCAGCUGUGACAGCUAACAACAACAAUGUCUCCAGACAUCGCCACAUGUUCCCUGGGGGACUAAAUCACCUUAGCUUCAGAACCAAGUGCUAUGUAUAUGUCAAGAACUAAGCCAUACACGUCCAGCAUGUAAUCAGUUCUGUGUUUUCAUAGGAUGUUUGGGAAGAAUUAAACCUACCAAUUUUCCAGGAGAAAAAUGGACUGCUGUUGUUUUCUCUUGACAAGGACAGUGUUUUGAGGUGUGACAUUGAUAGGUGGAAGGGCAGUUAACACAUUCAUGUCAUUCCCAAUUAGGAGAGUUCCCAAGUGCGAGGCAGGUACACAAAGUGUGUUCUUUCUAAUUAUGACCCUCUGUGGAGGAGAGGAGAGCAUGGCACUAAAAUUUUUACCAAACAUUUACUCUGUCUGGCCUUGACUUGUGACAUGUAGAAAUUAGUAGAAAAUACAGAAUAUGAAGUCCUGUGCUUAAGGACUUAGUUAUGUAAAGAAACAACUUUAUAAAAUAAGACUUUAUUAUCCUUUAGUCCAGUAGAUCUCAACUAGAUGCAGUUUUGUUCCCCUGUGUACAUGUGGCA